Molecule: small nuclear RNA, 100 nt
Filed under: Marmota marmota marmota (Alpine marmot)
Lineage: Eukaryota; Metazoa; Chordata; Mammalia; Rodentia; Sciuridae
Source: RNAcentral
UUGCUUUGGUGGCACAUAUACUAAAAUUGGAAGGAUACAGAGAUUAGCAUGGUCCCUGAACAAGAAUGAUAUGCAAAUUUGUGAAGCAUUCCAUAUUGUU